RNAcentral lists this non-coding RNA (775 nucleotides) under Metacanthus pulchellus. The record is from RNAcentral. Lineage: Eukaryota; Metazoa; Arthropoda; Insecta; Hemiptera; Berytidae.
CUUAUAGUUGAUUCUGCUAUAUUAAUUAGUUAAAAGUUAUUAUUUACAUGUAAAUCUUUGUAAGAUUAUGAUUACUUCUUAAGGAAGAUAAUUUUCAUAUUUGCAGUUUAAAGUUUUAGUUUUUAAAGAAAUUUAGAACUAUAUAAAUUUUAUAGAACUAUAAAAAGGUGUGCCAGCAUAUGCGGUUAUACAUUUUAGUUCAAAUUAAUCUUAUCGAUUAAUAUUAACAUUAUUAAAAAUAAAGAUUUAAAUUUUUUAUUAAGUGGAAUUUUAAUUUAUUAAAAUCUUUUAAGUAUUUGAUUAAUAUAAAAUUCAGACUUUAAACUAGGAUUAGAUACCCUAUUAUUCUGACUGUUAAAUUUAUAUUCAUGUGAUUAAAAGUUAUGUUCUUAAAAUUAAAAGAAUUUGGCGGUAAUUUAAUCUUUUCAGAGGAACCUGUAUUUUAAUUGAUAAUCCACGUUUAUUUUUACUUUAAUUAUUAGUUUGUAUAUCUCUGUCAUUGAAUGUCUCAUAAGAGUAUUUUCAUUAAUUAUAAUUAUAAUUAAGGUCAAGUCAAGGUGCAGCUAUAUUAAAGUUUUUAUGGGUUACAUUUAAAGUUUAUUUAUUAAAUUAUUAUUUCUUAAAAAUAAUAUGAAAUAGGAUUUGAAAGUAAAUUAUUUUAUAUAAAAUAAUUGAUUUUGGCUCUAAAUUAUGUACAUAUUGCCCGUCACUCUCACCUUUAAAGUGAGAUAAGUCGUAACAAAGUAAUUUUACUGGAAAGUGAAAUUUAAAUUUU